GUGCUCGUUUUGGCAGCACAUCUACUAAAAUUGGAAUGGUACAGAGAAGAUUAGUGUGGCCCCUGCACAAGACUAUGGCUCAGCACAAAUGCAGCUUCUCUUA
Small nuclear RNA from Microtus ochrogaster (prairie vole), 103 nucleotides. The record is from Ensembl. Lineage: Eukaryota; Metazoa; Chordata; Mammalia; Rodentia; Cricetidae.